RNAcentral lists this ribosomal RNA (406 nucleotides) under uncultured bacterium. RNAcentral describes it as "partial 16S ribosomal RNA". It matches the Rfam family "Bacterial small subunit ribosomal RNA", at positions 29 to 526 of the family's 1533-position model. The record is from RNAcentral.
AUUGAACGCUGGCGGCAGGCCUAACACAUGCAAGUCGAACGAGUGGCGGACGGGUGAGUAAUGUCUGGGAAACUGCCUGAUGGAGGGGGAUAACUACUGGAAACGGUAGCUAAUACCGCAUACCAUCGGAUGUGCCCAGAUGGGAUUAGUUAGGAGGUGGGGUAACGGCUCACCUAGGCGACGAUCCCUAGCUGGUCUGAGAGGAUGACGGGCGAAGAGGCAGCUGGGUCAAGGUGCAAACGCCUACGAGAAGCGGCAGUGGAGAAUGUGGAACAGUGGGCGAAGACCAGAAGCAGGCAUGCCGCGUCUGUGAGGAGGGAAAUAAGGUAUUAGAAUACUUACGGCGUGGAGAGGUAACCCGCUGAUGAAGCCCCGGCUGACUCCGUGCCAGCAGCCGCGGUAAUAC